AAACUUUCAACAACGGAUCUCUUGGCUCUCGCAUCGAUGAAGAACGCAGCGAAAUGCGAUAAGUAAUGUGAAUUGCAGAAUUCAGUGAAUCAUCGAAUCUUUGAACGCACAUAGCGCCCUUUGGUAUUCCUUAGGGCAUACCUGUUCGAGCGUCA
This 155-nucleotide ribosomal RNA is filed under the name Tuber cryptobrumale. RNAcentral's name for it is "5.8S ribosomal RNA". It matches the Rfam family "5.8S ribosomal RNA". From Rfam's summary of the family: 5.8S ribosomal RNA (5.8S rRNA) is a component of the large subunit of the eukaryotic ribosome. Lineage: Eukaryota; Fungi; Ascomycota; Pezizomycetes; Pezizales; Tuberaceae. The record is from RNAcentral.